CUGUGCCAGGUUGCAAGCUGGGGCACAUGGGCAGGGACUCUUUCCCCCAGCAACAGUAACAGAGGACUUUGUUGUGCCUGAGAAAUCAGUUUGUUUAUUUAGUGUCUGGUGCAUUCUUUUCUCCUGUGCAGUUUUUUAUUAUGCAUGGGAGCAAUAAUGGUACACGUGGCAACUUCUCUGAGUGUUGUGGGCUGUCUCUAGGCUUGGGCAGUAUUACUGCAGGAUUGUGCAGGGUUGUUUUUUAACGGAUUUCGUGUAUGUAUUUUUAUAGUUUUUCAUUUCUGCUGCAAGCUACUUUGGAGUUGCGUGCGUCAUUGACUGCAGGGAGCUGGGAUCUGCUUUGAAGCCCUGUAAGGUGAAAGGCGAAAAGCAGCUCAGGGAGCAUGGCCCAUGCAUGGAGGAUAUCUGGCUACUGGUAUCUGCAGGUGCAAUGGGCCAGCUCUGAUCUAGUCUGCUGGGGCUUGAAAAAGGAGCAUACUUUGUUUGGCCUGCCUGACUCCUGUCUUUGGAUUUUGUUCUGUUGUUUGCUUUGCCAGUUCUUAGCAUGCAAUUAAAAGUACUCAGACAGUGACUGAGAUUUUAAAUUAAUUCAGUUUGAGUGAACAUGCUCACGAACUUCAACACUAGUUUGCGUGCUGUGCCUAUAAAAACAAUGGUUAGACUGGUGUGAAUAUUGGGCAAGAGUCAAUUUCCAAGCCACACAGAUAAACAGAUGUAGAAAUCAACCUCUAUGUACAAGUACUUCUGUGCUUUGCUGGUCUGUUAAAUGGUUUAUUUUUCCCUAACAAAUUACAGCCAUGCAACACAACUUGGAUUUUGAUUACUUAUGAUCAAUCCACAUUGUCAAAAUUUUGAAACAGUGUUAAUCAAACGCAAUUGAAUAAAAAAUGCAUGUAACUGCUGCA
RNAcentral lists this long non-coding RNA (905 nucleotides) under Anas platyrhynchos platyrhynchos (common mallard). RNAcentral's name for it is "lncRNA (ENSAPLG00000026035.1)". The record is from RNAcentral. Lineage: Eukaryota; Metazoa; Chordata; Aves; Anseriformes; Anatidae.